GUCGAGCGGGCGAGGUUGCUUCGGUAACUGAGCUAGCGGCGGACGGGUGAGUAAUGCUUAGGAAUCUGCCUAUUAGUGGGGGACAACAUUCCGAAAGGAAUGCUAAUACCGCAUACGCCCUACGGGGGAAAGCAGGGGAUCUUCGGACCUUGCGCUAAUAGAUGAGCCUAAGUCAGAUUAGCUAGUUGGUGGGGUAAAGGCCUACCAAGGCGACGAUCUGUAGCGGGUCUGAGAGGAUGAUCCGCCACACUGGGACUGAGACACGGCCCAGACUCCUACGGGAGGCAGCAGUGGGGAAUAUUGGACAAUGGGCGCAAGCCUGAUCCAGCCAUGCCGCGUGUGUGAAGAAGGCCUUUUGGUUGUAAAGCACUUUAAGCGAGGAGGAGGCUACUUGGAUUAAUACUCUAGGAUAGUGGACGUUACUCGCAGAAUAAGCACCGGCUAACUCUGUGCCAGCAGCCGCGGUAAUACAGAGGGUGCGAGCGUUAAUCGGAUUUACUGGGCGUAAAGCGUGCGUAGGCGGCUUCUUAAGUCGGAUGUGAAAUCCCUGAGCUUAACUUAGGAAUUGCAUUCGAUACUGGGAAGCUAGAGUAUGGGAGAGGAUGGUAGAAUUCCAGGUGUAGCGGUGAAAUGCGUAGAGAUCUGGAGGAAUACCGAUGGCGAAGGCAGCCAUCUGGCCUAAUACUGACGCUGAGGUAC
Molecule: ribosomal RNA, 699 nt
Filed under: uncultured Pseudomonadota bacterium
Lineage: Bacteria; Pseudomonadati; Pseudomonadota
Description: bacterial SSU rRNA
Rfam family: Bacterial small subunit ribosomal RNA
Source: RNAcentral